RNAcentral lists this ribosomal RNA (250 nucleotides) under uncultured bacterium. RNAcentral describes it as "partial 16S ribosomal RNA". It matches the Rfam family "Bacterial small subunit ribosomal RNA", at positions 524 to 773 of the family's 1533-position model. The record is from RNAcentral.
UACGUAGGUGGCAAGCGUUGUCCGGAAUUAUUGGGCGUAAAGCGCGCGCAGGCGGCCUCUUAAGUCUGAUGUGAAAGCCCCCGGCUCAACCGGGGAGGGCCAUUGGAAACUGGGAGGCUUGAGUAUAGGAGAGAAGAGUGGAAUUCCACGUGUAGCGGUGAAAUGCGUAGAGAUGUGGAGGAACACCAGUGGCGAAGGCGACUCUUUGGCCUAUAACUGACGCUGAGGCGCGAAAGCGUGGGGAGCAAAC